This 792-nucleotide ribosomal RNA is filed under the name uncultured crenarchaeote. RNAcentral's name for it is "bacterial SSU rRNA". It matches the Rfam family "Archaeal small subunit ribosomal RNA", at positions 85 to 878 of the family's 1478-position model. Lineage: Archaea; Thermoproteati; Thermoproteota. The record is from RNAcentral.
ACGGCUCAGUAACACGUAGUCAACCUACCCUAUGGACAAGAAUAAUCUCGGGAAACUGAGCAUAAUUCUUGAUAGAUCAUAAUGCCUGGAAUGGUAUAUGGUUAAAAUGAUUCGUCGCCAUAGGAUGGGACUGCGGCUUAUCAGCUUGUUGGUGAGGUAAUGGCCCACCAAGGCGAUUACAGGUACGGGCUCUGAGAGGAGAAGCCCGGAGAUGGGUACUGAGACAAGGACCCAGGCCCUAUGGGGCGCAGCAGGCGAGAAAACUUUGCAAUGUGCGAAAGCACGACAAGGUUAGUCCGAGUGAUUUCUGCUAAAGAGAUCUUUUGCUAGUUAUAAAACCACUAGUGAAUAAGGGGUGGGCAAGUUCUGGUGUCAGCCGCCGCGGUAAAACCAGCACCUCAAGUGGUCAGGAUGAUUAUUGGGCCUAAAGCAUCCGUAGCCGGCUCUGUAAGUUUUCGGUUAAAUCUAUGCGCUCAACGUAUGGGCUGCCGAAAAUACUGCAGAGAUAGGGAGUGGGAGAGGUAGACGGUACUCGGUAGGAAGGGGUAAAAUCCUUUGAUCUAUCGAUGACCACCUGUGGCGAAGGCGGUCUACCAGAACACGUUCGACGGUGAGGGAUGAAAGCUGGGGGAGCAAACCGGAUUAGAUACCCGGGUAGUCCCAGCCGUAAACGAUGCAGACUCGAUGAUGCAUUGGCAUAUAGCCAGUGCAGUGUCGCAGGGAAGCCGUUAAGUCUGCCGCCUGGGAAGUACGUACGCAAGUAUGAAACUUAAAGGAAUUGGCGGGGGAGCA